This 80-nucleotide small RNA is filed under the name Klebsiella pneumoniae. Its description in RNAcentral is "partial RtT sRNA". It matches the Rfam family "RtT RNA", at positions 52 to 130 of the family's 130-position model. Rfam says of the family: This family represents a bacterial cis-regulatory element known as RtT RNA. The exact function of RtT is unknown although it is thought that it may be involved in changing the cellular response in relation to amino acid starvation. Lineage: Bacteria; Pseudomonadati; Pseudomonadota; Gammaproteobacteria; Enterobacterales; Enterobacteriaceae. RNAcentral also lists the same sequence under 1 other name. The record is from RNAcentral.
GCGAAGCGAGAGAACGUUGCCGCAGGCAAUGGCCCGAAGGCGAGGCGCUUUAGCGCCGAGUAAUCCUUCCCCCACCACUU